This 253-nucleotide ribosomal RNA is filed under the name uncultured bacterium. Its description in RNAcentral is "partial 16S ribosomal RNA". It matches the Rfam family "Bacterial small subunit ribosomal RNA", at positions 524 to 776 of the family's 1533-position model. The record is from RNAcentral.
UACGUAGGGUGCUAGCGUUGUUCGGAAUCAUUGGGCGUAAAGCGCGUGUAGGCGGUCAAUUAAGUCGUGUGUGAAAUCCCUGGGCUCAACCGAGGAAGUGCAUGCGAAACUGAUUGGCUUGAAGACGGCAGAGGAAGGUGGAAUUCCAAGUGUAGAGGUGAAAUUCGUAGAUAUUUGGAGGAAUACCGGUGGCGAAGGCGGCCUUCUGGACCGAUCUUGACGCUGAGACGCGAAAGCGUGGGGAGCAAACAGG